GUGCCUUCGGGAACCGUGAGACAGGUGCUGCAUGGCUGUCGUCAGCUCGUGUUGUGAAAUGUUGGGUUAAGUCCCGCAACGAGCGCAACCCAUAUCCUUUGUUGCCAGCGGUCCGGCCGGGAACUCAAAGGAGACUGCCAGUGAUAAACUGGAGGAAGGUGGGGAUGACGUCAAGUCAUCAUGGCCCUUACGACCAGGGCUACACACGUGCUACAAUGGCGCAUACAAAGAGAAGCGACCUCGCGAGAGCAAGCGGACCUCAUAAAGUGCGUCGUAGUCCGGAUUGGAGUCUGCAACUCGACUCCAUGAAGUCGGAAUCGCUAGUAAUCGUGGAUCAGAAUGCCACGGCGAAUACGUUCCCGGGCCUU
RNAcentral lists this ribosomal RNA (368 nucleotides) under uncultured Enterobacteriaceae bacterium. Its description in RNAcentral is "bacterial SSU rRNA". It matches the Rfam family "Bacterial small subunit ribosomal RNA", at positions 1014 to 1382 of the family's 1533-position model. The record is from RNAcentral. Lineage: Bacteria; Pseudomonadati; Pseudomonadota; Gammaproteobacteria; Enterobacterales; Enterobacteriaceae.